This 1026-nucleotide long non-coding RNA is filed under the name Homo sapiens (human). RNAcentral describes it as "HSALNT0341568". Lineage: Eukaryota; Metazoa; Chordata; Mammalia; Primates; Hominidae. The record is from RNAcentral.
CCUGUGUCUGCUCAACACCCAGGGGACUUCCAUCCUGACUGACGGUGGAGGUGUCAGAGGCUGGGCCUGACCACAGGCUUCUUGUAGGAGUUCGAGGAUACUGCAGGCUUGACCCAGCGCUCAACUGCCAAGCCACCCUAACCCCCAAGACAGUCCAGGUGGACACAAUUGAUGGGCAUUUGCUUCUGGUGAAGAGACAACACUUGAUGAUCCUGGAGAAGCCAGACCAUGAGCUUCACUUUGAGACUCUGGCUCAAGCUGACCAGCCCAGAUGCAGCCCUCACCAGAAGCCGACCAGAUGCAGCUACCCAAUCUGGAACUUCCUAGCCUCCAGAACAGUAAGCUAAAUAAACUUCUUUGCUAUAUAAAUUACCCAAUCUCAAGCAUUCUGUGACAGCAACAGAAAAGAGACUAAGACAGGCUGUCAAUGUAUUUGUAUAUUUUCCUAUCCGAUGACAAAUAGGCAAAGCAACUUUACGAUCAUAGAAAUCAGGAAAUAGCUGUCUUGGCAGAUGAAUGGAAAGGAGCAUGAGAGAACUUUCUGGAAUAAUGGCAAUGUUUUAUCGUUUGUUUUGGGUGGUUGUUACAAGGGUGGAAUUUGUCAAAACCAAACUGAACACUUGAGACCUAUAUACUUCACUGUAUGAAAACCGUAGAUCAAUAAAUAAUUCCCUUGUCGAGAUUGAUGUGUUUAAGUGUUCCAGGAUGUGAAUCUGCAGGUGCAUGUGUGUGCAUGUACGCAUGUGUGUGAGUCUGUGUAUAUGUCUGUGACCUUGGUAUGGGGUCUGGGCUGUAGAAAACUAUGUGGACUUGGGCACACAGCAAGUACACAUUACAGAACUUCAGCUUGGCCCUCAUAGCCACUAGCUAAUCCCACUCUUGUUUUUCCACAUUUGACCAGCAUUUUCCCAGUGAUCACAACUGUUAUCCAAACCAAAUCCUCUUUGGGAGCAACUUCUCUAAUUUUCUAUUCUUGCCUGGGAAAGUUAAGGCCACUGGCUGUGAGUCGCCCUCCUCCACCAACUG